GCUAGUCUCAUCAGACUCUAAUCAUGAGGCACCAUCUGAUAGGCCUGUACACUCAUUGGAUUUGUAUUCUGUUUGGGUUUUUUUUUAAGUUAGAAAAAGUUUAUUCAAAUGCAAUCAAUAAAAAGAAGAUAAGCCAUCAUAAGGUCUGAUUGCCAAUGAGACAACUCUCUGCAAAAGACCAAAUGACACAGAAAUUAACAAC
RNAcentral lists this long non-coding RNA (202 nucleotides) under Mytilus galloprovincialis (Mediterranean mussel). The record is from RNAcentral. Lineage: Eukaryota; Metazoa; Mollusca; Bivalvia; Mytilida; Mytilidae.